RNAcentral lists this ribosomal RNA (253 nucleotides) under uncultured bacterium. Its description in RNAcentral is "partial 16S ribosomal RNA". It matches the Rfam family "Bacterial small subunit ribosomal RNA", at positions 524 to 776 of the family's 1533-position model. The record is from RNAcentral.
UACGUAGGGGGCAAGCGUUGUCCGGAUUUAUUGGGCGUAAAGAGCGUGUAGGCGGCCAGAUAGGUCCGUUGUGAAAACUCGAGGCUCAACCUCGAGACGCCGAUGGAAACCAUCAGACUAGAGUCCGGAAGAGGAGAGUGGAAUUCCUGGUGUAGCGGUGAAAUGCGCAGAUAUCAGGAAGAACACCCGUGGCUAAGGCGGCUCUCUAGUACGGUACUGACGCUGAGACGCGAAAGCGUGGGGAGCGAACAGG